GACGAACGCUGGCGGCGUGCCUAAUACAUGCAAGUAGAACGCUGAAGAGAGGAGCUUGCUCUUCUUGGAUGAGUUGCGAACGGGUGAGUAACGCGUAGGUAACCUGCCUUGUAGCGGGGGAUAACUAUUGGAAACGAUAGCUAAUACCGCAUAACAAUGGAUGACACAUGUCAUUUAUUUGAAAGGGGCAAUUGCUCCACUACAAGAUGGACCUGCGUUGUAUUAGCUAGUAGGUGAGGUAAUGGCUCACCUAGGCGACGAUACAUAGCCGACCUGAGAGGGGGAGCGGCCACAAGGGGACUGAGACACGGCCCAGACUCCUAAGGGAGGCAGCAGUAGGGAAUCUUCGGCAAGGGGGGCAACCCUGGCCGAGCAACGCCGGGGGGGUGAAGAAGGUUUUGGGAUCGAAAAGCUCUGUUGUAAGUCAAGAAGGGGGGGGGGAGUGGAAAGUUCACACUGGGGCGGUAGUUUACCAGAAAGGGACGGCUAACUACGU
This 496-nucleotide ribosomal RNA is filed under the name uncultured bacterium. Its description in RNAcentral is "partial 16S ribosomal RNA". It matches the Rfam family "Bacterial small subunit ribosomal RNA", at positions 28 to 506 of the family's 1533-position model. The record is from RNAcentral.